AAAACACACACAUAUUUUAAGCGGUUUUAGAGAUUGAGACACAAUGACUCCACACUUCAUCCCUCUUCUUCAAGUAUUGUGUUUCACGGCCAAUUAAGCUUGGUCUGUCAGCAAUAUAUUUAAUGAGAUUAUCGUGACACACUUUUCCUUCUUGGACAAGAUCGUUGCAACAAGCCUCAAUGAGGGUUCCAUUUCCAAAAACAACAGU
Molecule: small RNA, 208 nt
Filed under: Arabidopsis thaliana (thale cress)
Lineage: Eukaryota; Viridiplantae; Streptophyta; Magnoliopsida; Brassicales; Brassicaceae
Description: ATSL205990
Source: RNAcentral